GACGAACGCUGGCGGCGUGCUUAACACAUGCAAGUCGAACGGGGAUGCUCCAGCUUGCUGGAGUGGAUCAGUGGCGAACGGGUGAGUAACACGUGAGCAACCUGCCCCAGACUCUGGAAUAAGCGCUGGAAACGGCGUCUAAUACUGGAUACGAAACUGGCCCGCAUGGGCAUGGUUUGGAAAGUUUUUCGGUUUGGGAUGGGCUCGCGGCCUAUCAGCUUGUUGGUGAGGUAAUGGCUCACCAAGGCGACGACGGGUAGCCGGCCUGAGAGGGCGACCGGCCACACUGGGACUGAGACACGGCCCAGACUCCUACGGGAGGCAGCAGUGGGGAAUAUUGCACAAUGGGCGAAAGCCUGAUGCAGCGACGCCGCGUGGGGGAUGACGGCCUUCGGGUUGUAAACCUCUUUCAGCAGGGAAGAAGCGAAAGUGACGGUACCUGCAGAAGAAGCACCGGCUAACUACGUG
Molecule: ribosomal RNA, 468 nt
Filed under: uncultured bacterium
Lineage: Bacteria
Description: partial 16S ribosomal RNA
Rfam family: Bacterial small subunit ribosomal RNA
Source: RNAcentral